UACACAUGCAGUCGAGCGGGCGAGGNNUNGCUUCGCGUACACUNGNACGCUAGCGGCGGACGGGUGAGUAAUGCUUAGGAAUCUGCCUAUUAGUGGGGGACAACAUUCCGAAAGGAAUGCUAAUACCGCAUACGCCCUACGGGGGAAAGCAGGGGAUCUUCGGACCUUGCGCUAAUAGAUGAGCCUAAGUCAGAUUAGCUAGUUGGUGGGGUAAAGGCCUACCAAGGCGACGAUCUGUAGCGGGUCUGAGAGGAUGAUCCGCCACACUGGGACUGAGACACGGCCCAGACUCCUACGGGAGGCAGCAGUGGGGAAUAUUGGACAAUGGGCGNAAGCCUGAUCCAGCCAUGCCGCGUGUGUGAAGAAGGCCUUUUGGUUGUAAAGCACUUUAAGCGAGGAGGAGGCUACUUGGAUUAAUACUCUAGGAUAGUGGACGUUACUCGCAGAAUAAGCACCGGCUAACUCUGUGCCAGCAGCCGCGGUAAUACAGAGGGUGCGAGCGUUAAUCGGAUUUACUGGGCGUAAAGCGUGCGUAGGCGGCUUCUUAAGUCGGAUGUGAAAUCCCUGAGCUUAACUUAGGAAUUGCAUUCGAUACUGGGAAGCUAGAGUAUGGGAGAGGAUGGUAGAAUUCCAGGUGUAGCGGUGAAAUGCGUAGAGAUCUGGAGGAAUACCGAUGGCGAAGGCAGCCAUCUGGCCUAAUACUGACGCUGAGGUACGAAAGCAUGGGGAGCAAACAGGAUUAGAUACCCUGGUAGUCCAUGCCGUAAACGAUGUCUACUAGCCGUUGGGGCCUUUGA
RNAcentral lists this ribosomal RNA (797 nucleotides) under unidentified microorganism. RNAcentral's name for it is "bacterial SSU rRNA". It matches the Rfam family "Bacterial small subunit ribosomal RNA", at positions 50 to 835 of the family's 1533-position model. The record is from RNAcentral.